This 301-nucleotide ribosomal RNA is filed under the name uncultured bacterium. Its description in RNAcentral is "partial 16S ribosomal RNA". It matches the Rfam family "Bacterial small subunit ribosomal RNA", at positions 509 to 807 of the family's 1533-position model. The record is from RNAcentral.
CAGUAGCCGCGGGAAUACGUAGGGUGCAAGCGUUGAUCGGAAUUACUGGGCGUAAAGCGUGCGCAGGCGGUUAUAUAAGACAGAUGUGAAAUCCCCGGGCUCAACCUGGGAACUGCAUUUGUGACUGUAUAGCUAGAGUACGGCAGAGGGGGAUGGAAUUCCGCGUGUAGCAGUGAAAUGCGUAGAUAUGCGGAGGAACACCGAUGGCGAAGGCAAUCCCCUGGGCCUGUACUGACGCUCAUGCACGAAAGCGUGGGGAGCAAACAGGAUUAGAUACCCCUGUAGUCCCUGUCUCUUAUAC